RNAcentral lists this ribosomal RNA (253 nucleotides) under uncultured bacterium. RNAcentral describes it as "partial 16S ribosomal RNA". It matches the Rfam family "Bacterial small subunit ribosomal RNA", at positions 524 to 776 of the family's 1533-position model. The record is from RNAcentral.
CACGGAGGGUGCAAGCGUUAUCCGGAUUCACUGGGUUUAAAGGGUGCGUAGGCGGAAAAUUAAGUCAGUGGUGAAAGCCCCGAGCUCAACUUGGGAACUGCCAUUGAUACUGAUUUUCUUGAGUGUGGUUGAAGUGGGCGGAAUAUAACAUGUAGCGGUGAAAUGCUUAGAUAUGUUAUAGAACACCGAUUGCGAAGGCAGCUCACUAAACCAUUACUGACGCUGAGGCACGAAAGCGUGGGGAGCGAACAGG